This 427-nucleotide ribosomal RNA is filed under the name uncultured bacterium. Its description in RNAcentral is "bacterial SSU rRNA". It matches the Rfam family "Bacterial small subunit ribosomal RNA", at positions 355 to 774 of the family's 1533-position model. The record is from RNAcentral.
AGGGGAAUUUUGGACAAUGGGCGCAAGCCUGAUCCAGCAAUGCCGCGUGCAGGAUUAAGGCCUUCGGGUUGUAAACUGCUUUUGUACGGAGCGAAAAGGUCUGCCCUAAUACGGUGGGCUCAUGACGGUACCGUAAGAAUAAGCACCGGCUAACUACGUGCCAGCAGCCGCGGUACUACGUAGGGUGCGGGCGUUAAUCGGCAUUCCUGGGCGUAAAGCGUGCGCAGGCGGUUAUAUAGGACAGAUGUGAAAUCCCCGGGCUCAACCUGGGACCUGCAGUUGUGACUGUAUAGCUAGAGUACGGUAGAGGGAGAUGGAAUUCCGGGUGUAGCAGUGAAAUGCGUAGAUAUGCGGAGGAACACCGAUGGCGAAGGCAAUCCCCUGGACCUGUACUGACGCUCAUGCACGAAAGCGUGGGGAGCAAACA